Molecule: ribosomal RNA, 517 nt
Filed under: uncultured bacterium
Lineage: Bacteria
Description: bacterial SSU rRNA
Rfam family: Bacterial small subunit ribosomal RNA
Source: RNAcentral
UAGUCCACGCCGUAAACGAUGGUUACUAGCUGUUCGGAUUUAUCUGAGUGGCUAAGCGAAAGUGAUAAGUAACCCACCUGGGGAGUACGUUCGCAAGAAUGAAACUCAAAGGAAUUGACGGGGGCCCGCACAAGCGGUGGAGCAUGUGGUUUAAUUCGAUGAUACGCGAGGAACCUUACCAGGGCUUAAAUGUAGAUUGACAGGUUUAGAGAUAGACUUUUCUUCGGACAAUUUACAAGGUGCUGCAUGGUUGUCGUCAGCUCGUGCCGUGAGGUGUCAGGUUAAGUCCUAUAACGAGCGCAACCCCUGUUGUUAGUUGCCAUCGAGUAAUGUCGGGAACUCUAACAAGACUGCCGGUGCAAACCGCGAGGAAGGUGGGGAUGACGUCAAGUCCUCAUGGCCUUUAUGACCAGGGCUACACACGUGCUACAAUGGUACAUACAGAGGGUUGCCAAGCCGCGAGGUGGAGCUAAUCCCAGAAAGUGUAUCCCAGUUCGGAUCGGAGUCUGCAACUCGA